This 275-nucleotide ribosomal RNA is filed under the name uncultured bacterium. RNAcentral describes it as "partial 16S ribosomal RNA". It matches the Rfam family "Bacterial small subunit ribosomal RNA", at positions 399 to 691 of the family's 1533-position model. The record is from RNAcentral.
GCGUGGAUGAAGAAGGUCUUCGGAUUGUAAAGUCCUUUCGGCGGGGACGAUGAUGACGGUACCCGCAGAAGAAGCCCCGGCUAACUUCGUGCCAGCAGCCGCGGUAAUACGAAGGGGGCUAGCGUUGCUCGGAAUGACUGGGCGUAAAGGGCGCGUAGGCGGUUUGGACAGUCAGGCGUGAAAUUCCUGGGCUUAACCUGGGGGCUGCGCUUGAUACAUCCAGACUUGAGUGGGGAAGAGGGUCGUGGAAUUCCCAGUGUAGAGGUGAAAUUCGU